ACAAUGAUACUUCUGCAUAGCCACAGACAUCGCAAUGGGUGCAGCCGCCGGAGAACCCGGCGGGGGUGAGAGUCCCAUGA
Clostridium kluyveri DSM 555 is the source of this 80-nucleotide regulatory RNA element. It matches the Rfam family "pemK RNA". The record is from Rfam. Lineage: Bacteria; Bacillati; Bacillota; Clostridia; Eubacteriales; Clostridiaceae.